GAUUUAUUUAUGCAACAAUGGGGAAUUUCCCGUAUUACCAGAGUAACUUACAAUCCUCAGGGACAAGCUGUGGCGGAACAGGCCAAUUGCACUUUAAAAACUCAAUUGUCCAAACAGUCUGAGCAACAAAAGCAUAAUUUAACCACUCCCCACUCCCAGUUACAUUUAGCAUUGUUUACUUUAAACUUUCUAAAUGUUCCUAAAGACAUACUCUGACUGCAGCUGAACAGGCAAAAAAUUCUCCCUAAAUGAAGGCAAGCCAGUGUUAGGGAAAAACUCCCAGACCAAUACCUGGGAAGCUGGAACAAUUACAACGUGGGGAAGAGGGUAUGCUUGUGUUUCACCAGGAGAUCAUCAAUCCCCUGUCUGGGUGCCCACUAGGAGACUUAAACUUCGUGUGAAUACUGACAAUAAAAACCAUAGGGAAGAGACGUCUGCGUCAGAGACCACCUUCAUACCUGGUAUGCUCCUCUACCUGUUCGGCAUCCCCGGGCACCUAGGAUUGCUUCUUUGUGGCGCAGAACAUUGGGCAUUGCCACUGCCGCUCCUCUCCCUCAGUAUCAACGUAGACUCAAACAUUCUGCUUUGUUUACCGCCAACCUGACUACUCCUAUACAGAGUUGUGUUAAGCCUCCUUACAUGCUGUUAGUGGAAAAUAUCAAAAUUUGGACGAACAAUCAAACUGUCCAAUGCAUUAAUUGUCAUUUAUACACUUGUGUUAACUCCCGUUUUGACUCCAGGAAAAGUAUAAUGUUGGUUCGAGAUCAAGAAGGAAUCUGGAUACCAUGUGCCAGACCAGUCAAAGAAUCCUGUGUCAAAACUGGGAGAACGAACAAGCCUUCAUCGCCAUGGCACAUUUAUAUAAAAAGAAAGGGAGAGAUGUUGCGGGAAGUCAGGGACCCCAAACGGAGGGACCGGCUGGAGCUGCGGCAGAGGAACAUAAAUUGUGAAGAUUUCAUUU
Molecule: long non-coding RNA, 961 nt
Filed under: Homo sapiens (human)
Lineage: Eukaryota; Metazoa; Chordata; Mammalia; Primates; Hominidae
Description: non-protein coding lnc-SERAC1-10:2
Source: RNAcentral